GACAGAGGCCCCGAGCGUUAAUCGGAAUCACUGGGCUUAAAGGGUGCGUAGGCGGACCGCUAAGUGUCGCGUGAAAUCCCACUGCUCAACGGUGGAACCGCGCGGCAAACUGACGGUCUUGAGGAAUCUAGAGGCCGGUGGAACGAUUGGUGGAGCGGUGGAAUGCGUAGAUAUCAAUCGGAACGCCCGAGGUGAAGACGGCCGGCUGGGGAUUUCCUGACGCUGAGGCACGAAAGCGUGGGGAGCAAACAGG
This 253-nucleotide ribosomal RNA is filed under the name uncultured bacterium. RNAcentral's name for it is "partial 16S ribosomal RNA". It matches the Rfam family "Bacterial small subunit ribosomal RNA", at positions 524 to 776 of the family's 1533-position model. The record is from RNAcentral.